AGGUGUGUGACCCAGCAGUGCGCACGACGCAUGCGUCUUUCCUCCGCCCUGCUAAAGUCCGGAAGGGCAACUGCUAUGAUUGUGCACCCUCCAGGUUGUGUUACCUUGGUCUCUCUCAAGUCUUGAAGACCGCAAGCAAGGGAGGGACAGAGAGAAAGGGGGACAGAGACUCUGAAGCAGGCUCUGUGCUAACAGCAGUGAGCAUUAUGUGGGGGUGGAAGUCACGAACCCUGAGAUCAUGACCUCUGAGCCAAGGUCAGAAGUUCAAUGGACUGAGCCACCCACGUGUCCUGCAGCUCAGCACUUAGGUGGACUGCUUUCCUCAACUUUGCUUAUAAAAGAAAUAAAUGGCUCCUACCCUCAAGAAGCUUACCAUUUAGAAGAAUAGACAAGCAAAUGUGUGUACAACAAGUAAAAUGAUGUUCAAGAUAUAUGAUUGACUGGGUGAGGAAGCAGCAAAAGGAAGACAAUACUUCACUGGAAACUAGAGUGCCUGGGUGGCUCAGUUGGUUGCGUCCAACUUUGGCUCAGGUCAUGAUUCUGCACUUCGUGGGUUCAAGCCCUGCGUCGGGCUCUGUGCUGACAGCUCGGAGCCUGGAGCCUGCUUCGGAUUCUUUGCCUCACUUUCUCCCUCUCUCUCUGCCUUUCCCCUGCAUGCUCUCUGUCUCCCAAAAAUAAAUAAGUAUAAAAAAAUACUUGAUUUUUCCUUUAUUUCUAUUUUUAUUACUAAAUGGACACUUAGGUAUAUAUGUAAGUAGCUAUUAUGGAGAAAUAAUUAGGUUAUAAUAUCAAAACCAUGUUUAUUUUAUAGCACUGGACUUAAUUCUGUGUCUCCACUCAGGUGAAGUUGCUUAAGAUCUUUUUUCUGUCUUCAGCACAUUACUGAAAUAAUUGUCAAAGUUUAGUGAAAUUUGUAAAUAGAAAUUGAUGUUCUAUAGCAUUAAUUUAUAUACACACUUACCCUUUAGUGUCAUAGCUCUUGAAGCAAAGCAGAGGGGGAGGUGAAAGCAUUUUGCAUUAUUAGUCUUCAGAGGACUAUAGAAGUAGAGCAAGGAAGGGAAGCAAAUAAAGUUGCUCUGGUUUUUUUUCAGGGCUGCUUUUCUCCUAUGACUUCCUGAAUCCAUAAAAUAAAGAAAUAUCACACUUUUGAGUAUCUGCGGGUCCUCUGACCCUAGGCAAUCUUAUUUUUAAGAUUUUAGAGAGUUUAGGAGAAAGUUGUUAGAAGAAUUUUAUUUUUAGUUAUGACAUUGUUUCUUGUUUCUCUUCCAUUUCUGCCGUUUCUUUUGCCCAUGAGCUCUUCUUAUUUCUAAUUUAGUCUGAUAGUAUUAGAACUUACUUCAACCAACCAGUUCAAUUUAGAAAAACCCAUGGGGAUGGUAUAAACAAAGUUUUAGAAAAGUAUGACAAUAAUCAUCAACCCAAAUGAACCCAAUUCUCCUGUUACAUUCUAUCAGUUCCUAAAUGUGUUUUAUAAACGAUGCUUCUUUCCCUGGGAGUAAAAACUCUUCUCUACGAUACUUUUUUUUUUUUUUUAAAUAAUCUAUGAAUUUCCAUAGGGGAGAAUAAAUGUUUUUAAAAAUUGCUUUUAAAAGGAAAUGUGCCAGGAGAUCAACAGGGGCAACUCUUUUCAAUGAUUCUGUGCUUACAUGAUAUGACAGUUUAUUUCCCAGCAAGAGUUAGGGCAUUUAGAUGUUUAGUAACCAUAAUGCAUUAGCUUCCCAGUGAGUUCAGGACUUAAUCAGGACUUAAUCACGUGCUAGUGAAUGCAGGCUUAAUAGUAAUAUAUACUGAGGCCUUAGCAUCUCAGGCUGGGUGAAAAAAGGAGGAAGUAAAUAUCCAGCCUUGAUGGGGGCAGAAAUAUGAAUACAGUUGUUACAGAGCUAAGUCUUGCAGUAAUUAUCUGCAUAUUAUCUGAAUGGCCCGGUAAAGUUAUGGAUAUGGAAAUUGUGGUUAAAUGAUAGAGCCUUAUGCUUCACCCAGGUUCAGCAACAUGAUAAGUCUAGCUGCCACCAGCGGUGUCCUGGUCCAGGUGAUCUGCCCACUGUGGAGAAUUCUGGCCAUUGUUUGGGUUUGGGGUGAGGCUGUACAGUGGUGCCAUUCAUCAUCUUAAGGUGACAGCAAGGGUUAAGGAAAACGAGAUAUCAGUACCAAGCAAAGAAGGUGUUCAGGUGAAUAUUCCUUUGCUAUUUGAGAGGUGGUACUGAAAUCAGAAUUGGAGGUAGGAUCACAGGUUUGUGUAUAUUAGCUCAUUCCUGCUGAGAAGUUGGUGUAGUCUGUGGCUGUACUGGACUGAUGUCAUAUACUGUGUGUACUCUGAGAAAUCAGUUAUGAUUCUCACAGAAUUGUAGGCAGAGGAGACUGGAGACAAGUCUUUUUCACACCACUCAUUGCCAUGCUUCCAUGAGAUCCUUAUGGACCCUUGGAACACAGUAGCAAGAUGAGUAAUUUUAGGAAAAGAUAGCUGGAAUAUGUAAGCAUCAAUUUUAUAGCUCUUCAAAUAAGCUUGAUUUAAUCAAGUUAUUUUACAUUAGAAAUCCAGCCAACACGGGCACCUGGGUGGCUCAGUCGGUUUAAGUGUCCAACUCUUGGUUUGGGCUCAGGUCAUGAUCUCACAGUUCAUGAGCUCAAGCCCCACCUUGGGCUCUGUGCUGACAUUGCAGAGUCUGCUUGGGAUUCUCUCCUCCCUCUCUGUCUGCCACCUUGUUCUCUCUCUCAAAAUAAAUAAAUAACUUAAAAAAAUACAGCCAAAAAGUGUCCUAACCUAUUGGUGCCCAAUUUGUUUUGUAAGCAGCAGAACAGUUCAUGAUAUGAGCUGCUUCAGUGGUUUUCUAUACUUGACACUCAUUUUGUAAACUCUUCUCUCUGAUUUCCUUCAAAUACAAAGAAGACUAAGAUUCUCACUGCAGAAACUCUAGGCUUCCUUGAUCUGACAUGUUUAGAGACUGUUCAGAUGAUAAUGUGGGUGAGCUUCUGAUCUUGAGAAGAUGAUGUGUGCCGUUUAAUUGAGAUUAUAGGUUUAUCACCUUGUUUGUAACUUGCUUCCCCUAAAAAAAUUUGCAGACAGAUGACAUUUUAGACUCUACAGUAAACAUUUAUACCGCAUUACACUGUACUUUGUUAAAAUGAAUUAGAUCAAUUAUUUAAUGGAAAUUAUCUCCAGUUUUAGGCUAUCCCUCCACUUUCCAACUUUUUCAAUGUUAGAAAACUUCUGUGGUACAUGUAACAUACUCUUCAGUAGUCUAUGUCUCAAUUCCCAAACUCUGGUGUCAGAAUCACCUUCAAUGUUUCUUUAAAAAACUGAUGCCUUUGUUGAACCCUAGACCUAUUCCACUAGGUGACUCUGCUCUAAUGUAAAGUUGAGGAACCAGCUAGUUGUGGAUCCAUUCCCCACCCCAGCAGUUCUUUACUUUACAGUUGAAUAUAGAUAUGUGCAGUCAACAUUCAGCAAGCAUUUAUUGUCUACUGUGUGCUAGAGAGUCUAUUAGGUACCAGUGAUCCAAAAUGAAUAAGACAUAUUUUGUCUUUAAGAAGUGUAUCAUACGGGGGCACCUGGGUGGUUCAGUUGGUUAAGCCUCCAACUGUUGAUUUCAGCUCAGGUCGUGAUCUCAUAAUCUGUGGGUUUGAGCCCCAUGUGGGGCUCUGUGCUGACAGUGCAGAGCCUGUUUGGGAUCCUCUCUCUCCCUCUGUCUCUCUGCCCCUUCCCUGCUCUCUCUCUUUCUCAAAAAUAAAAUAAACUUAAAAAAAUGUGUACAAUGCAUGGGAGAUAGAGCUCUAAAGCACAUAACAAUGUGAUAUAUAGUCCACCAGAUAAAUACAAAGUGCAACAGGAACAAAGGGAAAAAAAUAGUCACUUCCCUCAGGAGAGAAGAGGAGGGUACGUUAGUCACAGAAGAUGUGACAUGUGAGCUGUGUUGAAGCAAGUUCUCAGAGAAGUAGACAAAUGUCUUAGAGAAAAAUAAAUAUCCCUGUGCACUCACAAAGAAUGAGAAGUUCUGGUGGCUGGAGGCUACCAUGUAUAAGCGGAAAUCCUGGGUCUUAAUUGAAAAGGGCUUUGUGAAUUAGAGUAAGGAUACUUUCAUACCUAUAGGUGAUGAGAAAUAC
This is a long non-coding RNA of Acinonyx jubatus (cheetah), 4101 nucleotides long. RefSeq lists it as uncharacterized. The transcript is spliced from 5 exons. The record is from RefSeq and is a predicted model, not a curated record. Lineage: Eukaryota; Metazoa; Chordata; Mammalia; Carnivora; Felidae.